AAACCAUUCCAUUUUUCAAUGAGAGAAAACUAUAGCAAAUACAAAACCGAACUAAAUCACUUUAGAACCAACCAUAGGGACUAAAGGAUUCUCACUACAACAUGAUAAAGUAUAAAGUAUAUCCAAUUAGCACUUUUUAUUCGCAGACCAUAUCAACCAAAGCCUCUGUGAUGCUUGUACCUCAAAAUUUGGAGAAUAUGUGUUAAAAAGAACUGAGUCUCCUUUGUUUGCUGGACAGUUAGAUCAAGUUCUAUACUGCCAUUUUCA
This 267-nucleotide unclassified non-coding RNA is filed under the name Hevea brasiliensis (rubber tree). The record is from RNAcentral. Lineage: Eukaryota; Viridiplantae; Streptophyta; Magnoliopsida; Malpighiales; Euphorbiaceae.